This 254-nucleotide ribosomal RNA is filed under the name uncultured bacterium. Its description in RNAcentral is "partial 16S ribosomal RNA". It matches the Rfam family "Bacterial small subunit ribosomal RNA", at positions 524 to 776 of the family's 1533-position model. The record is from RNAcentral.
UACGAAGGGGGCUAGCGUUGUUCGGAUUUACUGGGCGUAAAGCGCACGUAGGCGGAUCUUUAAGUCAGAGGUGAAAUCCCAAGGCUCAACCUUGGAACUGCCUUUGAUACUGGGGAUCUUGAGUCCGGGAGAGGGUGAGUGGAACUGCGAGUGUAGAGGUGAAAUUCGUAGAUAUUCGCAAGAACACCAGUGGCGAAGGCGACUCACUGGCCCGGUACUGACGCUGAGGUGCGAAAGCGUGGGGAGCAAACAGG